CGGGGUGUGGCGCAGCCCGGUAGCGCACCUGCUUUGGGAGCAGGGGGUCGUGGGUUCAAAUCCCUCCGCCCCGACCA
Molecule: transfer RNA, 77 nt
Filed under: Chloroflexaceae bacterium
Lineage: Bacteria; Bacillati; Chloroflexota; Chloroflexia; Chloroflexales; Chloroflexaceae
Description: tRNA-Pro
Rfam family: tRNA
About the family: Transfer RNA (tRNA) molecules are approximately 80 nucleotides in length. Their secondary structure includes four short double-helical elements and three loops (D, anti-codon, and T loops). Further hydrogen bonds mediate the characteristic L-shaped molecular structure. tRNAs have two regions of fundamental functional importance: the anti-codon, which is responsible for specific mRNA codon recognition, and the 3' end, to which the tRNAs corresponding amino acid is attached (by aminoacyl-tRNA synthetases). tRNAs cope with the degeneracy of the genetic code in two manners: having more than one tRNA (with a specific anti-codon) for a particular amino acid; and 'wobble' base-pairing, i.e. permitting non-standard base-pairing at the 3rd anti-codon position.
Source: RNAcentral